RNAcentral lists this unclassified non-coding RNA (372 nucleotides) under soil metagenome. RNAcentral's name for it is "partial contains 5.8S ribosomal RNA, internal transcribed spacer 2, and large subunit ribosomal RNA". The stretch from base 1 to 121 matches the Rfam family "5.8S ribosomal RNA", at positions 35 to 154 of the family's 154-position model. The record is from RNAcentral.
GAUGAAGAACGUAGCGAAAUGCGAUAAGUAAUGCGAAUUGCAGAAUUCCAGUGAGUCAUCGAAUCUUUGAACGCACAUUGCGCCCUUUGGUAUUCCGAAGGGCAUGCCUGUUCGAGCGUCAUUAUCACCCCUCAAGCCCUCGGCUUGGUGUUGGACGGUUUGGUGGAGGCCCCCUCGGGGGCUCCUGCCCCUCCCAAAGACAAUGACGGCGGCCUCGUUGGACCCCCGGUACACUGAGUUCUUCACGGGACACGUAUCGGACACAUGGGUUUACGGGACACGGUCUGCCUCCCCUCAGGGAGAAUCUUUCUAAGGUUGACCUCGGAUCAGGUAGGGAUACCCGCUGAACUUAAGCAUAUCAAUAACGGAGGA